RNAcentral lists this transfer RNA (542 nucleotides) under uncultured Prochlorococcus sp. RNAcentral's name for it is "partial 16S-23S ribosomal RNA intergenic spacer". The stretch from base 212 to 284 matches the Rfam family "tRNA". Lineage: Bacteria; Bacillati; Cyanobacteriota; Cyanophyceae; Synechococcales; Prochlorococcaceae. The record is from RNAcentral.
CAGGGAGACAACAAAAUGUUUAAUAUUAUUAUUUUGUCACCUUAGGUCGAUCGGUAUCUCACGUUCUUAAUUUGUUAAGAAUUUCAUUUCCUAAGUUUUUCUAGGUCACACCCAUUAUUUUUCCUGGGCCAUUAGCUCAGGUGGUUAGAGCGCACCCCUGAUAAGGGUGAGGUCCCUGGUUCAAGUCCAGGAUGGCCCAUAUCUCUAUGUUGGGGGUAUAGCUCAGUUGGUAGAGCGCCUGCUUUGCAAGCAGGAUGUCAGCGGUUCGAGUCCGCUUACCUCCACUGAUUACCACCUCUUCCAUAACCGGUAGAAAGGAAAUGUUUUGAGUUGUGAUCAUUAUUCUGAACGAAUCUAGCUUCCUAAUGAAAUCAUUAAGAUGCUGGACUCAUUGAAUUAAUUUCAUUGUUUUCAGAGAACCUUGACAACUGCAUAGAUUAUUUUUAAAGACAAUAAGCAUCUUUAAUGAUGCAGAUUUAUUAUUUGUGCGAAUGCAUUAAUAACAAUUCUAUUAAGCUGAUGCUUCAAUUUUUGAAGUUAUU